Maniola jurtina (meadow brown) is the source of this 172-nucleotide long non-coding RNA. RefSeq lists it as uncharacterized. The record is from RefSeq and is a predicted model, not a curated record. The transcript is spliced from 3 exons. Lineage: Eukaryota; Metazoa; Arthropoda; Insecta; Lepidoptera; Nymphalidae.
UAAUGAUUUUAGCAGUCUAUGUAUGUAUGUAUGUUUGUAUCCAGAUUUUGUGUCUUCCACCGUAGCGCCUAAACUACUGGGCCGAUUUUGAUGAAUGAUGUGUCAAUUGAUUCGUUGUGAAGGUCCGGAUGACAUAGGCUUCAUCAAAACACAUUUAUACGAGAUUAAAAUU